This 449-nucleotide ribosomal RNA is filed under the name uncultured bacterium. Its description in RNAcentral is "partial 16S ribosomal RNA". It matches the Rfam family "Bacterial small subunit ribosomal RNA", at positions 29 to 523 of the family's 1533-position model. The record is from RNAcentral.
AACGAACGCUGGCGGCAUGCCUAACACAUGCAAGUCGAACGAAGCCUUCGGGCUUAGUGGCGCACGGGUGCGUAACGCGUGGGAAUCUGCCCUUUGGUUCGGAAUAACAGUUGGAAACGACUGCUAAUACCGGAUGAUGACGAAAGUCCAAAGAUUUAUCGCCAGAGGAUGAGCCCGCGUAGGAUUAGCUAGUUGGUGUGGUAAAGGCGCACCAAGGCGACGAUCCUUAGCUGGUCUGAGAGGAUGAUCAGCCACACUGGGACUGAGACACGGCCCAGACUCCUACGGGAGGCAGCAGUGGGGAAUAUUGGACAAUGGGCGAAAGCCUGAUCCAGCAAUGCCGCGUGAGUGAUGAAGGCCCUAGGGUUGUAAAGCUCUUUUACCCGGGAUGAUAAUGACAGUACCGGGAGAAUAAGCCCCGGCUAACUCCGUGCCAGCAGCAGCGGUAA